Molecule: ribosomal RNA, 323 nt
Filed under: uncultured eukaryote
Lineage: Eukaryota
Description: partial 18S ribosomal RNA
Rfam family: Eukaryotic small subunit ribosomal RNA
Source: RNAcentral
CCCUUAGAUGUUCUGGGCCGCACGCGCGCUACACUGAUGCAUGCAACGGGUUCUAUCCUUGGCCGGAAGGCCUGGGUAAUCUGUGAACGUGCAUCGUGAUAGGGAUAGAUUAUUGCAAUUAUUAAUCUUGAACGAGGAAUUCCUAGUAAACGCAAGUCAUCAGCUUGCAUUGAUUACGUCCCUGCCCUUUGUACACACCGCCCGUCGCACCUACCGAUCGAAGGUAAUGAUGAGCCCUCAGGAUUGUGGCCUCGUCGCGUCAGCGUCUUGGCUGCGAGAAUCUGUGCAAAUCCCUACCUUUAGAGGAAGGUGAAGUCGUAACA